This 446-nucleotide ribosomal RNA is filed under the name uncultured bacterium. RNAcentral describes it as "bacterial SSU rRNA". It matches the Rfam family "Bacterial small subunit ribosomal RNA", at positions 329 to 792 of the family's 1533-position model. The record is from RNAcentral.
UCCCAGACUCCUACGGGAGGCAGCAGUGGGGGAUAUUGCACAAUGGGGGGAACCCUGAUGCAGCGACGCCGCGUGGGUGAGGAAGUACCCCGGUAUGUAAAGCCCUUUCGGCAGGGAAGAAAAUGACGGUACCUGGCGAAGAAGCCCCGGCUAACUACGUGCCAGCAGCCGCGGUAAUACGUAGGGGGCAAGCGUUGUCCGGAUUUACUGGGUGUAAAGGGCGUGCAGCCGGGCUGACAAGUCAGAUGUGAAAUCCCGCGGCUCAACCGCGGAACUGCAUUUGAAACUGUCAGUCUUGAGUACCGGAGAGGUCAUCGGAAUUCCUUGUGUAGCGGUGAAAUGCGUAGAUAUAAGGAAGAACACCAGUGGCGAAGGCGGAUGACUGGACGGCAACUGACGGUGAGGCGCGAAAGCGUGGGGAGCAAACAGGAUUAGAUACCCUAGUA